CUAGCCGUAAACGAUGGGUACUAGGUGUGGGAGGUAUCGACCCCUUCCGUGCCGGAGUUAACGCAAUAAGUACCCCGCCUGGGGACUACGAUCGCAAGAUUGAAACUCAAAGGAAUUGACGGGGGCCCGCACAAGCGGUGGAGUAUGUGGUUUAAUUCGACGCAACGCGAAGAACCUUACCAAGGCUUGACAUUGAGUGAAAGAUCUAGAGAUAGAUUCCUCUCUUCGGAGACACGAAAACAGGUGG
Molecule: ribosomal RNA, 247 nt
Filed under: uncultured bacterium
Lineage: Bacteria
Description: partial 16S ribosomal RNA
Rfam family: Bacterial small subunit ribosomal RNA
Source: RNAcentral